CCGAGAUCACCCGAAGAGCGAGCGAGGCUCACGUUUUGUGUCUUUGCAGGAGCCCGGGGCUGGGCACAGAACUGCAGCGCCGGAGAAAGUUUCCUGGGAAGGAGCCUCGCCGGGGGGAUCUUAUUUGCCCUCCGGGCUGCUGGUGAGUAAGGGGGCUGCGCAGCAGAGGUCCCCGCCCCCGCCCGCUUUGAUUCCUGCCCCUCUGCGCAGAGCUGGGCGUAGGGCUGGUGUCAAGUGAACUUGAAAAGCUGAUUUGCAGGCAAACCUGCCGCGGUGGGUUUCUUCCGCGGCGCUCGGAGAUGGAAGGGGGGGGGGUCUCGGCCACGGGGAAGUUUUUGCAGCGGAAUGAAUCCGGAUUCAACUUUGGGACCAUGCUGCUGAUUGGGCUCGUGUGAGCAGCUCCUGAGCUAAGGACACAGUCACUCCCUUUCCACGCGCUGGGCAUGUUUGUGCUGCUGGACCCUCAAACCGCUUCGAUCCUUUUAAUCUAAUUCAACCGAAGCAGCCAGGAGCACCGGGAACGUUUGACAUUGGGCUGAGUUGUGGAGUCUGCCCCCCACCCCAUCAGCACCCCCCAAAAAAGGGCGGAAGGAGGAGGUUUUGCAGGGGGCUGCGGGGGUGCCCGGCUCCAGACUCGGCUUCGCCUCUGGCAAUGGAUUACCUGGAAGUGUGGCUCCGGGUCGCGCUCCUCUUUGCGGGAUUUGCCGUAUUGCCCCAGCAGCAGGCGGAAGGUGCUUGUGUCUACCAAGGCUCAUUGUUUGAGAUCCUGAAAACACAAAAAGAAGUAUUCAGUUUUCACGGCAAACACCCAAGAGGGAACCCUAAAGGUUGUCUGGAAAAGUGGAUUGGAAAGUGAACAUGAGCUCCUGCCUCACACCAGAUGGAAUCAAAGCAUAAGAAGAGACAGAUGGACCUUGUAAAUCAUUGCCUAGCACCUCCGUAUCUUCUGGCCCAGAACAAUCUCAAACCAAGAUCUGUUGACACAGUGCAGCCAAGAGGAUCUGAGCACCAUCAUUGCCAGGAGGCGUUGGAGAUGGAUUGGUCAUGUGCUUCGGAUGGAAACUGAUUCCAUCACCAGAGUAGCAAUAAGAUGGACACCUGAAGGUAAGCAAAAACAACAUGGCGAAGAGCUGUGGAAGCCAAGCUGAAAAACCUGGAGCACAGAUGGGGAACCAUUGAAAGACUUGCCAGAAACAGACAGGAGUGGAGGAGCUUUGUCACUGCCCUAAACGCCAGAGGCGUAAUAGGAACAUGAUGAUGAUGAUAGCACAGUGGGGUGUAAUCUUGAUUGAGGUCGCUGGGUACUAUUGCAAUUUUUUAAUAAAUAAUAAUAAUAAAAUAAUAGUAACAAUACAUGUUUAACCAGUAGGUGCCGCUGUUAUACAAAGCCAUGUAAUCAGAAUUAAGGCCUAACCGAACUCCUAGGAUACUAAAUUAUUAAGUUUCAGAGUGGUGGCCGUGUUAGUCUGUAUCAGCAAAAACAACGAGGAGUCCUUGUCGCACCUUAGAGACUAACAAAAACGAUGCGGUGGAAUUAAACUGAUUUAAUAUUGGACUUUCCCCACCAAUAAUGAAAGUCUAUAUGAAAAUAUUUUGUUUACGUGAAGUUUUACCUGCAACAUUCUAACUUUAUUUUCUAGAUUAUUUUCAGCAUUUAAAACCACGCCCCAAAAUUUUAGGUUUUUCCUAAGGUUCCGAUACCUGCCCUGCUUGAAAUGUAAGCUAGCAAGGCAUUCCACUAAGUGGCAGGGUAGAAAUAUUUCUGUAAAGGCUCUAUAACUGGAGAAUGACAUUAUAUGCAUGCAGGAUAGGAUGGUACGGUGUUCUCUGGCUCACAUACUGCUGCUUACUACCAAUGACCCUUCUGCUGGUCUCUGCAGAGCAGGACAGGACAAGUAAAAGGUGGCAUGGGAAAGCCCUGUAUACUCCUCUAGGUUCCCAUCCCUUCUAAAUCCACAGAAAAAGGCUGCAUUAAUGUGCCAUACUUCCCAUUCUGUGCUUAGAGCCACGUUUAGGGGGUUAUGGGGGCCAUACUCUAGGGGCCAUUGAAAGUUGGUUGUGCUGGGUGAUACAAUUUUCUGUGUUACUUUAAUUUCUCUUUCUUUCGAAGAAAAUACUUGUGAUGUUAAAACUGUUAUCAAAAUCUAAAACAAUUACAUUUAAAAUGAAGGCUAACAGGCUUUUGGGGAGAUAGUUAACAGCACAGUGUAGGAAAAAGGUAUAGAGCACACCUUAUCCAGGAGUAUUUAACUUUGAAAACACUGCAUGAAAUGAAGAAAAUUAAAAAAAGCUGCCCUCAGACACAACUGUGUGACCAGCUCUGCUGAGACCAAUGGGAACACCGCAUGCAUAUCUCAGGGUAAAAGCCUGCAGUAGAUAAUAAUGCAUUGCCUAAUUCUAUUUAUUGAAGUUAUUUGUCAUGAAAAGUUAGUAAAAGCAAAGACUCUUCAGUCAUUUCCAUUUGCCUGUAAUGAACAGCAAUUCAGAUCAAGUUAUUUUACCUCUUCAGGACAUCAGCUGAAUCGUCUAAUUCCUCAAACUCCAUGUGAAACACACUAGAAAAUGAAUCCUAUAAAUACAAAAAGGAUUCUUAUUGGAUGGAAACUAGUAAUAUUCGUAAUCCUGAUUAACAGUAACAAUAGUAAUAAGGAGAAAGUCAGCUGCAAUUAUUUACACAGAGUCUGCUUUAAGGGGGAAAGAAAGAAAUCCUUGUAUUUUACACUCCCUCCCCCCAACCACCCCAUGGCAAUUCUGGCCAGAACAGGGAAAUAUAACCUCCCUGUGUCACUGAAAUCCCUUGCAUCUCCAGGGAGCAUUCACCCCAAGUGAGGGCAGGCAUGUUCACAAAUAGCUCUGGAGCUAACUGUUAGCAAAGAGUCUAUUUUAACAUUUACAAUUCCAGACUAAGAGUGUAUUUGCAAUCAACCUCAGUCAUGUCACUUUGCUUAGAUGUAGAGAGUCCCAGGAGCAAUAAUAAGCCUUAAAUGUAUUGCUAGAUCUCCUUAUGGCUUCUUAUCACUGUAGUAUCUGAGCAUUUUGCAAACACCAAUGAAUUUAUCCUCACAUACCCCUGUGAGGCAGGGAAUUAUCAUUAUCGCCAUUGUAUAGAUGAGAAAUUGAGGCACAGAGAGGAACUGGGCCAGACCUUGGGUUUUGGCUAAAUUGCACAGAGCACAGAUCAGAGAGAGUGUGUGUGAGUGCAUAUGCAAAUGGGAGCAUAGGUCACAUAAAUCUAUCUUUUGCUUUCCUGUGAUGCUAGUACUGCUCUGCAGGGCAGUUUCUCCUGAGCUUUAUUCAAGGGAUGCUCUAAUUUAUGUUGGGCUGCAAUGGCCCCAAAGGGCCCAAAGUGAAGCCAAGGUCUCAUUUAGAGCAGGUGGUCUUGGCCACGUCAUUCUUCCUCCGGCCACUCCCCUUUUCCCUGCUACACCAGCCACAGAGCGAGUGAGUGAUGUAACAGCCCAUGUCAGCUCUCUAUCAUGGGAGAAGUAUACUACCCUUGGAGGUGAUCCUCUCUGGGAUGGUUCAGAUGACCUUAGGGACAGAUUACACCACCCGGCAGUGCAAAAUGGCUGCACCAAACCACACAAUCUGACCCAGAGAGAGGUCAUGCCUCGAAGAACUGACAUCCAAACUGAAAGGAUGUCGUACAAACAGAGGUGAGGAGGCAUGAGAAUGGGAGAAGAAAAUGUUGGAGUGGAUCAGAGAUGGAAGGCUAGUAAAAGAAGUGUGGACAGAAGGAAUCUGCUACUGUGAGCAAAAGAGUACACUGCAACCAUUGUCUUUCUGUCUUCCCUCUUCUUUACAGUGGAGGCCUGAUUCUCCAGUUCCUUGCACUUACAUAGUAAUUUAAAUUGUGCAAAGUGGGUGCAAAAUGUGACCAAAUCAAAAUGGAGGAAGGAAAUAGAGAAGCUGACCCAAGGGGCCUCUAAAGAACGAGAGCACUACUCCCUUUAAACUAAGUCACACUUGAUACUCACAGUGCA
Molecule: long non-coding RNA, 3983 nt
Organism: Chelonia mydas (Green sea turtle)
Lineage: Eukaryota; Metazoa; Chordata; Testudines; Cheloniidae
Exons: 5
Source: RefSeq, a predicted model, not a curated record